UACAGAGGGGGCAAGCGUUGUCCGGACUCACUGGGCGUAAAGGGUGCGUAGGCGGUUUGGAGCGUUCGCACUGAAAUCCCACAGCUUAACUGCGGGGCGCGUGCGAAUACGACUAAACUAGAGGCAGGGAGAGGAUGGGGGAACUCCUGGUGUAGUGGUGAAAUGCGUAGAGAUCAGGAAGAACACCCGUGGCGCAAGCGCCCAUCUGGUCCUGUCCUGACGCUGUGGCACGAAAGCGUGGGGAGCGAACCGGAUUAGAUACCCGGGUAGUCCACGCUGUAAACGAUGUCGACUCGGUGUGUGGUGGCCGUUAUGGCCGCUGCGUGCCUUAGCUCACGCGGGAAGUCGACCGCCUGGGGACUACGAGCGCAAGCUUAAA
This 379-nucleotide ribosomal RNA is filed under the name uncultured bacterium. Its description in RNAcentral is "bacterial SSU rRNA". It matches the Rfam family "Bacterial small subunit ribosomal RNA", at positions 524 to 898 of the family's 1533-position model. The record is from RNAcentral.